GACGGACGCUGGCGGCGUGCUUAACACAUGCAAGUCGAACGGAAAGGCCCUGCUUUUGUGGGGUGCUCGAGUGGCGAACGGGUGAGUAACACGUGAGUAACCUGCCCUUGACUUUGGGAUAACUUCAGGAAACUGGGGCUAAUACCGGAUAGGAGCUCCUGCUGCAUGGUGGGGGUUGGAAAGUUUCGGCGGUUGGGGAUGGACUCGCGGCUUAUCAGCUUGUUGGUGGGGUAGUGGCUUACCAAGGCUUUGACCGGUAGCCGGCCUGAGAGGGUGACCGGCCACAUUGGGACUGAGAUACGGCCCAGACUCCUACGGGAGGCAGCAGUGGGGAAUAUUGCACAAUGGGCGGAAGCCUGAUGCAGCAACGCCGCGUGCGGGAUGACGGCCUUCGGGUUGUAAACCGCUUUCGCCUGUGACGAAGCGUGAGUGACGGUAAUGGGUAAAGAAGCACCGGCUAACUACGUG
This 468-nucleotide ribosomal RNA is filed under the name uncultured bacterium. RNAcentral describes it as "partial 16S ribosomal RNA". It matches the Rfam family "Bacterial small subunit ribosomal RNA", at positions 28 to 507 of the family's 1533-position model. The record is from RNAcentral.